ACAUUGGAUAGCCCAGUCAGUAGGAGAGCAUGAGACUCUUAAUCUCAGGAUUGUAGGUUCAAGACCCACGCAGGGCA
This is a non-coding RNA of Podarcis lilfordi (Lilford's wall lizard), 77 nucleotides long. Lineage: Eukaryota; Metazoa; Chordata; Lepidosauria; Squamata; Lacertidae. The record is from the annotation of a GenBank genome assembly.